CAUGGAUCAGUGUGAGGACAGAGAGGAGGGAGUCCCUCCCUCUAAAAGCACUCAGAGGAACAAACCUGGACCUGAAACCAGCCCUGAAUCAGGACCUGAGCCCAGCUGUGUGUCCAUGAAGAGUGACCGGUCGAUGGAUCAGAUUAUUGAGUUCAAAGCUGGAGUUUCCUUAGACCAACAGAAUCAGCCUGAACCAGAACCAGAACCAGAACCCAGCUGUGUGUCCUUUAAGAGUGACCGGUCAAUGAAUCAUCCUCCUGAGUUCAGCUCAGAGGAACAGAGAGUGGACCAGCAGAGCUCAGAGCUUCCCACUGGUCAGUCUGCCCAGCAGCAUCAAACACAGCU
Melanotaenia boesemani (Boeseman's rainbowfish) is the source of this 345-nucleotide long non-coding RNA. RefSeq lists it as uncharacterized. Lineage: Eukaryota; Metazoa; Chordata; Actinopteri; Atheriniformes; Melanotaeniidae. The record is from RefSeq and is a predicted model, not a curated record. The transcript has 4 exons.